UUUUUUGGAGAGUUUGAUCCUGGCUCAGGACGAACGCUGGCGGCGUGCUUAACACAUGCAAGUCGAGCGGAAAGGCCC
RNAcentral lists this ribosomal RNA (78 nucleotides) under Nonomuraea longispora. Its description in RNAcentral is "Nonomuraea sp. KC201 partial 16S ribosomal RNA". It matches the Rfam family "Bacterial small subunit ribosomal RNA", at positions 1 to 77 of the family's 1533-position model. The record is from RNAcentral. RNAcentral also lists the same sequence under 1 other name. Lineage: Bacteria; Bacillati; Actinomycetota; Actinomycetes; Streptosporangiales; Streptosporangiaceae.